CCCCUUGUGGCGAAAUGGCAUACGCAGCGCACUCAAAAUGCGCCGCCCGCACGGGCAUGUGAGUUCGACUCUCACCGAGGGGACCA
RNAcentral lists this transfer RNA (86 nucleotides) under Siphoviridae sp. ctLfk13. RNAcentral's name for it is "tRNA-Leu". It matches the Rfam family "tRNA". From Rfam's summary of the family: Transfer RNA (tRNA) molecules are approximately 80 nucleotides in length. Their secondary structure includes four short double-helical elements and three loops (D, anti-codon, and T loops). The record is from RNAcentral. Lineage: Duplodnaviria; Heunggongvirae; Uroviricota; Caudoviricetes.